This 6440-nucleotide long non-coding RNA is filed under the name Homo sapiens (human). RNAcentral's name for it is "HSALNT0228014". The record is from RNAcentral. Lineage: Eukaryota; Metazoa; Chordata; Mammalia; Primates; Hominidae.
AAAAAUUAGCCAAGCACAGUGGCAUGUGUCUGUAGUACCAGCUACUUGGGAGGCUGAGUGAAGAGGGAGGAUUGCUUGAGGCCAGGAGUUGGAGACCAGACUGGGCAACAUAGCGAGACCUCAGCUUGGAAGUAAGGAAGGAAAGAAGGGAGGGAAGGAGGGAUGAAGGUAGAAAGAAACGGGACAAGAUGGACUCCUGAGGCCAUCCUAAUUCUGGAACACAAUACAAUGGCCUCUGUAUGUUAGGAGGGCUCAUUUGGCUUCUCUCUAAGCCAGCAGUCCACAUCUUUUUGGCACCAAGGACCAGUUUUGUAGAAGACAAUUUUCCACGGAUGGGGGCGGGGGGUGGGGGUGGGAGGGGAUGGUUUCGGGAUGAAACUGUUCCACCUCAGAUCAUCAGACGUUAGAUUCUCGUAAGAGGUGCCCAACCUACAUCCCUUGCACGUGCAGUCCACAAUAGGGUUUGUGCUUCUAUGGGAAUAUAAUGCCACACUGAUCUGACAGGAGUCAGGGCUCAGGUAGUAAUGCUCACUCACCUGCCGCACACCUCCUGCUGUGCGGCCGGUUCCCAAUAGGCCAUGGAAUGCUUAUUGGUCCACAGCCCUGGAGUUGGGCACCCCUCUUCUAAGGCAGAAGCUUCUACUGUCUUAGGAGCAGCGUCCUGGCCUCCACAGCAGGGAGAGAGCAGGAAUACCCAGCCACAGAUACUGGUCAAGAUAUUGAUCAACUUCCUACCAUCAUGGUGGAGGCAAGCCUGGAGGCCUCUGGGUGGUCAUCAGGUCACCCCAGCACAUUUUCCUGCCCCGGACUCCUGGCCACGCUGAGGUUGCUGUGAGCAGACACGAUGUGCAGGGUCAUGGAUGUGCAGCUCAAACUCCUUGACAAGCGGGAGAUUUAUUUUAUGGCCCAAGCAGUUUGGAGACAAAAUCGUAAGGUGCUCACCCAUCCAGUGUCUCUUCAGCCGGCACUGGGAGGUGUCAAACUGACCACAUUCGACUGCCCCUUCCGCCCGCAGAAUAUGGGUCUGCGUUUCUCUUUCCCUCUUGGUGGCCAAGAACUGUCAACAUCCAGCUGUGGCUCUGCACUCAGCCGCCGCUCAGCCUGCUCAGGUUGAAAGGUCAAACGUUGUCUGGAAUUGGCAGCCCAGCUUACUAGCAGCUCUUCUGUCUUCAGAGUGCAGUGAGGGGAGCUGUCAGAGGGCUGAGGCAAGGACCAGAGAGGGAACUCCUGCGACAGAGAAAGCUCAGCCCUGGUUAUGUUCUGGAGGGAGCAUAGCAGGGUCUGUCCCAGGAACUUUAUUAGUUAGCGGUUAAGAUCCUCAUCCACAGAAAAGCCGGUAGGAAUUAGCCAGGUGGUGUGUGCCUAUGGUCCCAGCUACCCAGGAGGGUGAGGAGGGAGGACUGCUUGAGCCCAGGAGGUUGAGGCUGCGGCUAGCUAUGAUUGUGUCACUGCGCUCCAGCCUGGGUGACAAAGCAAGAUCCUGACUCAAAAAAAAAAAAAAAAAAAAAAGGAAGAAAGAAGAAAGAGAGAGAAGAAAGAAAGGAGAGAAAGAGAAGGAAGGAAGGAGAAAGGAAAGAAGGAAGGAAGAAAAGGAAGAAAGAAUGACAAAGAAAAGAAAGAAAGACGAAAAGGAAAGGAAAAGAAAAGAAAAAAGAAACAAAAGCAGGAAAGUGAGGGGAGAGGGCCAGGAAGACAGAAGACAGGAUGGGCAAGAAGGGUGGGAAGGAUUCCCACACCAGAUUCAGGAGUGGCUCUGCAUUGGGAAAUCCAUCUACGACUGCUGGGGACUUGGUUUUGCAAACAUGCACAGAGAAACCUUCAUCCACCUCUGUGCAAUGUUGGACUGAAGUAGAAAUGAGCCGCUGUUUUCUGGAAGCACCCCAUUUCUUUGAGCUGAUCUUCUCUAAUAAUGAAUUCUGGUGAAGCCUGCCAUUCACAGCACCCUGCCCUCCCAUCUGUAGGAGGUGGGAACAGGACCCAGGCCAGUUGAUCAGAGAGCUCCCUUGCCCUGGGAUGAGCAUGUGACCCAGAUGUCUCAAUCAUGGGGAAGAUCCUCUUGCCUGUUAUAGCCACUAUGCUGGAAGAACAGGAUGUGGGCUUGCUGGCCGCCAUCUUCCAGUCCACGCUGGGAACCCAUCUGCAGGAGGAGGGAAGGAGGACAACCCAGUUUGAGGGAGCAUAUGGACAGCAGCUAUAGAAGGCUCCAUAUGUGCCCAGUGCUAGAUCCACCCCAUCCCUUCCUGUUCCAUAAAUCCAUACAUCUUCUCUCACUUUUGCUUACCCUAGUUUGAGUUACAUUUCUGACACCUGCCACCAUAAAAGCCCAAAUGAUUACAGAGAAUAUUUGGCUACAGGAAAGACCCUGCAGUCUGUGAAAAAAGAGGCUGCUGGUGCAUAGUCAUCGUAGACCAGUGCAAAGAGUGAAACAGAAACAUCCAGCUUAAUCUGCAAAAGCCUUUUUGGAUCCUUGAGAGGCGCUCAUUAACUUACAGCAAAUUGGUGAGCUGAUACUCUUCUUUCAUCCAGGUGAGUGCAUUAACUAGGUUAAUGUUCCUGUCUCAAGGGACUGCUGUAGGUUAGGGUGAAUGAAUGAAAGAAGCAAGUUUUUAAACAGGAAAAAGGCUGCAGGGAAGUUGAGGUGACAAGCAUCGUUUCACCCCCAAUGGAAGGUGAGCUUGUCUGUUAGGUCCCAGGGACUGAAUUGGAGUUCCGUGGUUAGGGAAUGACCCAUCUCAACAAGCAACUUCCAUCAUCCUUCCAUGGGGAUCUGAUUAAGGUCUUCUCCAGAAGGAGAUGGCCUCGUGAGUUGGGGCUUUUUAAUCUCCCUGUCCCUCCUCUAGAAGGGCAUUGCUACUGGCCUUGCCCUGCCAAGUCUUCAGUCUACAACAACACUGCCCGGCUUCAGACACAGCCCAGAUCCUUCCCAGAUCCUUCCCAGACACAGCCCAGAUCCUUCCCAGACAAAAAGUCCUUCCGACUUUUUGCCCUUUCGGCCCAGCCUUCCCUAUCACUUAUGCUGAAAUUGGGAACGUUUCCCAAACCAACAAUUUCCCAGUCCACAAUGUUCCCUUGCUGAGUGUCCCCACAGGAGAGACAGGCAGCCUGAUAAAUAAAACCAGUCAUAAAACCUCCCUGCCUUAGCAAAGGGACUGCUUUGCCAGGCUACCGUCACAUAGCACUCCUGUCUCCCGUUUGACUUCAUAUAGUGAAAAUUGUCUAAAAGAUAAGGCAGGAGCUCUGGUUGACACCCCCCCUGCCCCCGCCUCAUAGAUCUCUCUCUAGAAGCAUUGGAAGAGGCCGUCUCAAAAAAGAAAAAUAAAAUAGAAGCAUUGGAGGAAAGAUGUGGUUUGUAGUGAAACAAAUUGGAAGUCAAGCUCAGCCUCAACCACUUACUUGCUUCUGACCUUGGCAUUAGGAAGAGGCCGGGUGCCGUGGCUCACACCUGUAGUGCCAGCGCUUUGGAAGGCUAAGAUGGGCAGACUGCUUGAACUCAGGAGUUUGAGACCAGCCUGGGCAAUGUGUCAAGACCCCAUCUCUACAAGAAAUUUUAAAAUUAGCCAGGCAUUGUGGAAUCCUGCUUUGUGUAGUUCAGUGCCUGCUGCCAAGUCAGAGCUGUGACCUCAAUGAAAGUGGCCCAGCCACAGCAAACCUCAGUUUCCAUAACAGUCCUGGGAUCCAAUGUGGCUUUCACACUACAUGUCACUUCACUCUGUUAUCUCUGACAGAAAACCAACUCAAACUGGCUUAAGCAAAAAGGGUACUCACUGGGCCAUGUAACCAAAAAGUGUAGGCAUACAUGUGGCUUCAGGAAUGGCUGGAUCCAGGCACUCACAUGUGGCAUCGGGAGUCCCUCUCCUGGCUGUUGGUUUCAGUUUUCUCUGCAGGGGUUUCAUUCAAGCACUGGUUCCCUCCUCAUAGUGGCAAGGUGGCUGCCCAGGACAAGAGGCUUAUAGCCACGGGCUCAGCUACUUAAGGAUAAGUUCCAUCAGAAGCCCAAGUUGAGGCCGGGCUUGGUGCUCACACCUGUAAUCCCAGCACUUUGGGUGGCCGAGGUGGGUGGAUCACUUGAGGUCAGGAGUUCGAGACCAGCCUGGCCAACACAGUGAAACCCUGUCUCUACUUAAAAAAAAACAAAACAAAACAAAAAAAAAAACCAUGAAAAUUAGCUGGGUGUGGUGGCACGUGCCUGUAAUCCCAGCUACUUGCAAGGCUGAGGCAGGAGAAUCACUUGAACCUGGCAGGCGGAAGUUGCAGUGAGACGAGAUCACGUCAUUGUACUCCAGUCUGGGCAACAGAACGAGACUUCGUUGGCAAUGACUGGGUCAUCUGUCCAGUCCUGAACCGGUCACUGUGUCAGGUAGAAGCAUUGUUUGAUUGGCCAGGCCUGGGACACACGGCCAUCUCCAGACCUAGGAAUGGCAUCAUCUCUACCCAAACCCCGUGAACCAAGAGUUGGGGAGGAGCAAAGCUUCAGAGAAAACUCUGGGCCCUGUCAUCAAGCAGAGGAGGAAAGGAGGCCACACAGACUGAGACAUCAAGUACCCACUGUGCCCUCACCACCAGCUCCCGCCCUGGCCAGUGCACUCCUGGACCAUCUCUCCUCCCCGUCUUGUUCACAGUCACCCUCUCACCCCAGCAGAGAUCAGGCCAGGGUACUGGUGGCAAGUGAGUGAAGGGUUUCAGCAAGGGGGUCCCCACCUUCCAGGCACAGUGUAAGUGGACCCCCCACACUUGGGGGCUCUCCUGGGUUGCACAGUGUCCUCUGAAAAUUCACAUCCACCUGGAACCUGCAAAUAUGACCUUAUUUGGAAAUGGAGUCUUUGCAGAUGUUGUCAAGAUAAGAUGAAGUCAUACUGUUUUAGGAUGGGCCCUCUAUAUGGCACGACUGGGGUUCUUAUACGAAGAGGGACCCUGGCACACAGAUGCAUACAGGGAGAGUGCUGUGUGAUGAGAAAGGCAGAGAUUGCAGUGAUGCUGCCACCAGCCAAGGAGUCACCAUCAGCCAGGAGAUGGGCAUGGAUCUGAUUCUCCCUGGGAACCUCCAGAAGGAGCCAACCCUGCCAACACCUUGGUUUUGGACUUCUGUUCCCCGCAACUGUGAGACAAUACAUUCUGUGGUUUUAAGCUUUAUGAUAAUUUGUUACUGUAGCCCUGGGAAAGGAAUACAAGGGUAGACAGACACUGAUCAAGUAAGCAAACAAAUGUGAAAUUGCCCUGUGACAAGGGAGGUGCGGGGUGCCUGUGUUGGGGAAGAAUUCUCUGAGACUUGAAGUCAGAGAAGGAGUUAGCUAAUGGGGCCGACAGGGUUCUGCACACGCAGCUCACGGCCCAGAUCUUGUUGGCCAAGUGUUUUUGCAGGGAUUAGGAACUAAGAAUGGUUUUGCAAGAAGAACAUCACAGGCUGAGGGGACAGCAUGGGCAAAGGCCAUGAAGUGGGAGGCGCCCUCUGUGAAACCAACAAGCUUUCAGCCACGUGGGUCUCUCUGACGCGUUGCCUCAGCCACAGAGGGCUUUAAAAAGCCCCGAAACUGGACAGGUGUCACUGCCUGUGGCAGUAGCGGCCAUUUGGCGCCUGUGGUUUCAACUCCACCCGUUUCACAUGUCUAUGUUACCAGACUGGCCCCUGAAGGGGAUCUGUGUGCCAGGCCCUGACCUGCCGGGCUUUGGAAACAUCCUCGACAGUGUCCCCUGACCUGCGCCCCGCCUUGUGGAGUGAGGCCUGGUUGCCCAAGCUGGCUGGGCCGGGCUGUUUGUUGCUUCCAACAAACAUAGGAGAGAACGUAUGGCUGCUUUUUAUUGCCAGUGAGAGUUCCGCGAGGCCUGGCCCGAGAUGUGGCUGGCGUGAGGGGUCCCGGACCUGCUGUGCUGGGGACGCACCCAGUUCUGUGUCGCUUGGUCCAGUGAGGACUCGAGCCCCUUGGAGGCGGGGCCUCGGGCUGCAGGGGCGGGGCCCCGAGCCGCCUGGGGGUGGGGCCUCAGGCUCUUUGGGGGCGGGGCCUCAAGCUGUCUGGGGACGGAGCCUCCGGCCGGCUGGGGGCGGGGCCUCAUGCCUAAGGGGCGGGGCCUCGAGCUUUCUGGGGGUGGGGUCUCAAGCUUCAGGGUCGGGGCCUGGAGCCGCCUGGGGACGGGGCGAUCUGUUGGGGAGGAGGUUCUCGAACUGCUGAGGAGGAUCGCAGUGCUUUUGCUUCCUCUAGGAGACCAGCUGCACAGGCUGGAACAUGCCAUCUCUAUGCCUGUUUUCCCGUCGAUAAAUCCAGAGACAUUACUCUCAUCAUUUCUUCCUCUGUACACAAUAUUCAUAUAUGUAACCCCUUGGUAAAGCAGUUGUAAGAAUUAAACAAGAGGAAUUGCUCUUUCAUUCAGCAAAUAUUUUUUGAGCAGCUACUAGAUGCCAGGCACUGUUUUAGACGCAAGUGAUACUUCAGGAAACAUAAUCAGAC